CUUUCUAGCUAUAUUUGCAACAGUUGCCUGUGUCUAAAUCUUGGAAGCCAAGCAAAGUUGGACCUGGUUAGUAAUUGAAUUGGAGAUUGCCUGGGAAUAUUGGGUACUAGAAGCU
Molecule: ribosomal RNA, 115 nt
Filed under: Phascolarctos cinereus (koala)
Lineage: Eukaryota; Metazoa; Chordata; Mammalia; Diprotodontia; Phascolarctidae
Source: RNAcentral